This 127-nucleotide small RNA is filed under the name Dickeya dianthicola. Its description in RNAcentral is "RtT sRNA". It matches the Rfam family "RtT RNA". Rfam says of the family: This family represents a bacterial cis-regulatory element known as RtT RNA. Lineage: Bacteria; Pseudomonadati; Pseudomonadota; Gammaproteobacteria; Enterobacterales; Pectobacteriaceae. The record is from RNAcentral.
GAUAUCACGCUGUCGUGCAGGUGAGAAGCUGCGUUCAGGUUCGAGUCGAGCGGAGCGAGACAACAGCCCAUCAUCUCUUAUGGCAUGUAGAUUUUUGUUAUAUCNUCGAAUCCUGCACGACCCACCA